Mustela erminea (ermine) is the source of this 360-nucleotide non-coding RNA. The record is from the annotation of a RefSeq genome assembly. NCBI's taxonomy places the organism in Eukaryota, Metazoa, Chordata, Mammalia, Carnivora, Mustelidae.
AUGGCCAGGUGUCCAGUGUUAGAUGCAGCUGGUGGAGUCUGGAGGAGACCUGGUGAAGCCUGGAGGUCCCUGAAACUCUCCUAUGCAGCCUCUGGAUUCACCUUCAGUAGUUACUGGAUGAGCUGUCUCUGCCAGGCUCCAGGGAAGGAGCUGCAGUGGGUUGGGGAAAUUAAAAGUAAUGGAAGUAGCAUAAACUAUGCAGACCCUGUGAAGGGCCGAUUCACCAUCUCCAGGGACAAUGGCAAAAACACACUGUAUCUGCAGAUGAACAACCUGAGAGCUGAGGACAUGGCCCUGUAUUACUGUGUGAGAGACACAGUGAGGGGACAUAACUGUGAGACCAGACAGAAACCUGUGUAG